This 160-nucleotide ribosomal RNA is filed under the name Debaryomyces nepalensis. RNAcentral describes it as "5.8S ribosomal RNA". It matches the Rfam family "5.8S ribosomal RNA". From Rfam's summary of the family: 5.8S ribosomal RNA (5.8S rRNA) is a component of the large subunit of the eukaryotic ribosome. It is transcribed by RNA polymerase I as part of the 45S precursor that also contains 18S and 28S rRNA. The record is from RNAcentral. Lineage: Eukaryota; Fungi; Ascomycota; Pichiomycetes; Serinales; Debaryomycetaceae.
AACUUUCAACAACGGAUCUCUUGGUUCUCGCAUCGAUGAAGAACGCAGCGAAAUGCGAUAAGUAAUAUGAAUUGCAGAUUUUCGUGAAUCAUCGAAUCUUUGAACGCACAUUGCGCCCUUUGGUAUUCCAAAGGGCAUGCCUGUUUGAGCGUCAUUUCUC